Molecule: small RNA, 67 nt
Filed under: Pelagodinium bei
Lineage: Eukaryota; Dinophyceae; Suessiales; Suessiaceae
Description: Pelagodinium beii partial Cyanobacteria transfer-messenger RNA
Source: RNAcentral
AACCCGGGGCUGCAAUGACUUCGACGAGUCAACAUGAGCAGCGCUGGAAGUCUGACGAUGCAGAGCC